GACGAACGCUGGCGGCGUGCUUAACACAUGCAAGUCGAACGGAAAGGCCCUGCUUGCAGGGUACUCGAGUGGCGAACGGGUGAGUAACACGUGGGUGAUCUGCCCUGCACUUCGGGAUAAGCUUGGGAAACUGGGUCUAAUACCGGAUAGGAGCCAUCUUUAGUGUGGUGGUUGGAAAGUUUUUUCGGUGUAGGAUGAGCUCGCGGCCUAUCAGCUUGUUGGUGGGGUAAUGGCCUACCAAGGCGGCGACGGGUAGCCGGCCUGAGAGGGUGUACGGCCACAUUGGGACUGAGAUACGGCCCAGACUCCUACGGGAGGCAGCAGUGGGGAAUAUUGCACAAUGGGCGCAAGUCUGAUGCAGCGACGCCGCGUGGGGGAUGAAGGCCUUCGGGUUGUAAACUCCUUUCGCUAGGGACGAAGCUUUGUUGUGACGGUACCUAGAUAAGAAGCACCGGCUAACUACGUG
This 466-nucleotide ribosomal RNA is filed under the name uncultured bacterium. RNAcentral describes it as "partial 16S ribosomal RNA". It matches the Rfam family "Bacterial small subunit ribosomal RNA", at positions 28 to 507 of the family's 1533-position model. The record is from RNAcentral.